Molecule: ribosomal RNA, 497 nt
Filed under: uncultured bacterium
Lineage: Bacteria
Description: partial 16S ribosomal RNA
Rfam family: Bacterial small subunit ribosomal RNA
Source: RNAcentral
GAUGAACGCUGGCGGCGUGCCUAAUACAUGCAAGUCGAGCGAACGGACGAGAAGCUUGCUUCUCUGAUGUUAGCGGCGGACGGGUGAGUAACACGUGGAUAACCUACCUAUAAGACUGGUAUAACUUCGGGAAACCGGAGCUAAUACCGGAUAAUAUUUUGAACCGCAUGGUUCAAAAGUGAAAGACGGUCUUGCUGUCACUUAUAGAUGGAUCCGCGCUGCAUUAGCUAGUUGGUAAGGUAACGGCUUACCAAGGCAACGAUGCAUAGCCGACCUGAGAGGGUGAUAGGCCACACUGGAACGGAGACACGGUCCAGAGUCCUACGGGAGGCAGCAGUAGGGAAUCUUCCGCAAAGGGCGAAAGCCUGACGGAGCAACGCCGCGUGAGUGAUGAAGGUCUUCGGAUCGUAAAACUCUGUUAUUAGGGAAGAACAUAUGUGUAAGUAACUGUGCACAGCUUGACGGUACCUAAUCAGAAAGCCACGGCUAACUACGUG